GAUGAACGCUAGCGGGAGGCCUAACACAUGCAAGCCGAGCGGUAUGGGUAGCUUGCUACCCAGAGAGCGGCGUACGGGUGCGUAACACGUGUGCAACCUGCCCCUAUCCGGGGGAUAGCCCUCCGAAAGGAGGAUUAAUACCCCAUAAUAUAUCUGGUGGCAUCACUAGAUAUUGAAAACCCCGGUGGAUAGGGAUGGGCACGCGCAAGAUUAGAUAGUUGGCGGGGUAACGGCCCACCAAGUCGAUGAUCUUUAGGGGUCCUGAGAGGGAGAUCCCCCACACUGGUACUGAGACACGGUCCAGACUCCUACGGGAGGCAGCAGUGAGGAAUAUUGGACAAUGGGUGGAAGCCUGAUCCAGCCAUCCCGCGUGAGGGACGACGGCCCUAUGGGUUGUAAACCUCUUUUGUACGGGGAUAAACCUAUCUACGUGUAGAUAGCUGAAGGUACCGUACGAAUAAGCACCGGCUAACUCCGUG
This 479-nucleotide ribosomal RNA is filed under the name uncultured bacterium. RNAcentral's name for it is "partial 16S ribosomal RNA". It matches the Rfam family "Bacterial small subunit ribosomal RNA", at positions 28 to 507 of the family's 1533-position model. The record is from RNAcentral.